AACGCACAUUGCGCCCCUUAGUAUUCUAGUGGGCAUGCCUGUUCGAGCGUCAUUACAACCCUCAAGCGCUGUAGUGCUUGGUGUUGGGGCAUCUGCUGCCUGCAGCAGGCCCUGAAAGAUAGUGGCGAGCUCGCCGUGACCCUGAGCGUAGUAGUUUACACCUCGCUUCUGUGGUUCAUGGUGGGUCUUCAGCCGUGAAAACCCCUUAAUUUUCACAAGGUUGACCUCGGAUCAGGUAGGAAUACCCGCUGAACUUAA
Molecule: unclassified non-coding RNA, 258 nt
Filed under: uncultured fungus
Lineage: Eukaryota; Fungi
Description: partial contains 5.8S ribosomal RNA, internal transcribed spacer 2, and large subunit ribosomal RNA
Source: RNAcentral